RNAcentral lists this long non-coding RNA (449 nucleotides) under Homo sapiens (human). Its description in RNAcentral is "HSALNT0356084". Lineage: Eukaryota; Metazoa; Chordata; Mammalia; Primates; Hominidae. The record is from RNAcentral.
AAAGACAGAGCAUGGCUGCUGGGCAGCCAGGUCAACCGGACGGCAAGGCAGGGGUUGGCCGGGGAAGCACUGCGCCGCCCCUGCAUGCCCUGCAUCCUCGGGUCCUGGGAGGGCUGCUCAGUAACUGGAAGGAAAAUGAAACUGAAAAAGAGCAAGGGUCCCGUAGGAUUGAACACAGUUGGUGAAACUUGGGCCGUCUGCCUCAAGUCCCCGCUUGGCAAAACCACUCCCUCCUGGUGGACGCCCUCACCAUGAAGGCACUGUGACUGACUUCCUGCCGCAGAGGCUAAGAUUCGGCUCGUUCACUCCACAUGUGCACACAGCUCCUACCUGCAGAACACGCCCACCCUUAUGAAGGCCAUGAAAGCAGUGACAGUGCUGUAGGAAAGAGUAAGCUGGAAAAAGAGAAGGUUCAGAACGACAGUGCUGACGCAGACAUCACACAGCGG